GACGAACGCUGGCGGCGUGCUUAGCACAUGCAAGUCGAACGAAGAGCGAUGGAAGCUUGCUUCUAUCAAUCUUAGUGGCGAACGGGUGAGUAACGCGUAAUCAACCUGCCCUUCAGAGGGGGACAACAGUUGGAAACGACUGCUAAUACCGCAUACGAUCUAAUCUCGGCAUCGAGGAAAGAUGAAAGGUGGCCUCUAUUUAUAAGCUAUCACUGAAGGAGGGGAUUGCGUCUGAUUAGCUAGUUGGAGGGGUAACGGCCCACCAAGGCGAUGAUCAGUAGCCGGUCUGAGAGGAUGAACGGCCACAUUGGGACUGAGACACGGCCCAGACUCCUACGGGAGGCAGCAGUGGGGAAUCUUCCGCAAUGGACGAAAGUCUGACGGAGCAACGCCGCGUGAGUGAUGACGGCCUUCGGGUUGUAAAGCUCUGUUAAUCGGGACGAAAGGCCUUCUUGCGAACAGUUAGAAGGA
RNAcentral lists this ribosomal RNA (471 nucleotides) under Veillonella dispar. Its description in RNAcentral is "bacterial SSU rRNA". It matches the Rfam family "Bacterial small subunit ribosomal RNA", at positions 28 to 476 of the family's 1533-position model. Lineage: Bacteria; Bacillati; Bacillota; Negativicutes; Veillonellales; Veillonellaceae. The record is from RNAcentral.